CGGACGGGUGAGUAACGCGUGAGUAACCUGCCUUACACAAGGGGAUAGCCGUUGGAAACGACGAAUAAUACCCUAUGAAACUAUCACUUCGCAUGAAGCGAUAGUCAAAGUGUUAGCGGUGUAAGAUGGACUUACGUCUGAUUAGCUAGUUGGUGAGAAAAAGCCCACCAAGGCAACGAUCAGUAGCCGGCUUGGGAGAGUGUACGGCCACAUUGGGACUGAGACACGGCCCAG
This 234-nucleotide ribosomal RNA is filed under the name uncultured Eubacteriales bacterium. RNAcentral describes it as "uncultured Clostridiales bacterium partial 16S ribosomal RNA". It matches the Rfam family "Bacterial small subunit ribosomal RNA", at positions 99 to 334 of the family's 1533-position model. Lineage: Bacteria; Bacillati; Bacillota; Clostridia; Eubacteriales. The record is from RNAcentral.